This 528-nucleotide small RNA is filed under the name Pan troglodytes (chimpanzee). RNAcentral describes it as "retained intron". Lineage: Eukaryota; Metazoa; Chordata; Mammalia; Primates; Hominidae. The record is from RNAcentral.
AGAAGUUCAUCAAGAUCGCGGCCCUCUGCAAGCAGAACCAGGACCUGCUGUCUUUCUACGCCGUGGUCAUGGGGCUGGAUAACGCCGCUGUCAGCCGCCUUCGACUCACCUGGGAGAAGCUGCCAGGGAAAUUCAAGAACUUGUUUCGCAAAUUUGAGAACCUGACGGACCCCUGCAGGAACCACAAAAGCUACCGAGAAGUGAUCUCCAAAAUGAAGCCCCCUGUGAUUCCCUUCGUGCCUCUGAUCCUCAAAGGUGAGAGAGUUACUCCCAAGCUGUGCCACUUCCACCCAUGCUUCCCUUCUCCUAUGCCCUGCUUCUGACUUCCAGCCCCCUCUCGACUCAGCCCUGAGUACCCACCUGGAGAGGAGACCCCCACCACAGACGGAGUGGGUUCUGGGGAAGAGCGGGGUCCUCGGGUGCAGUGGCCCCUUUCGAACUCCUCUCUUAUCCUUUCCUCACAUUGGAUUCUCUCCACAUCCCCUAGACCUGACUUUCCUGCACGAAGGGAGUAAGACCCUUGUAGAU